This 580-nucleotide ribosomal RNA is filed under the name uncultured bacterium. Its description in RNAcentral is "partial 16S ribosomal RNA". It matches the Rfam family "Bacterial small subunit ribosomal RNA", at positions 355 to 927 of the family's 1533-position model. The record is from RNAcentral.
UGGGGAAUUUUGGACAAUGGGGGAAACCCUGAUCCAGCCAUCCCGCGUGUGCGAUGAAGGCCUUCGGGUUGUAAAGCACUUUUGGCAGGAAAGAAACGUCGCGGGUUAAUACCCCGCGAAACUGACGGUACCUGCAGAAUAAGCACCGGCUAACUACGUGCCAGCAGCCGCGGUAAUACGUAGGGUGCAAGCGUUAAUCGGAAUUACUGGGCGUAAAGCGUGCGCAGGCGGUUCGGAAAGAAAGAUGUGAAAUCCCAGAGCUUAACUUUGGAACUGCAUUUUUAACUACCGGGCUAGAGUGUGUCAGAGGGAGGUGGAAUUCCGCGUGUAGCAGUGAGAUGCGUAGAUAUGUGGAGGAACACCGAUGGCGAAGGCAGCCUCCUGGGAUAACACUGACGCUCAUGCACGAAAGCGUGGGGAGCAAACAGGAUUAGAUACCCUGGUAGUCCACGCCCUAAACGAUGUCAACUAGCUGUUGGGGGCCUUCGGGCCUUGGUAGCGCAGCUAACGCGUGAAGUUGACCGCCUGGGGAGUACGGUCGCAAGAUUAAAACUCAAAGGAAUUGACGGGGGUCGAUAGC